GAUGAACGCUGGCGGCGUGCCUAAUACAUGCAAGUCGAGCGAACAGACGAGGAGCUUGCUCCUCUGACGUUAGCGGCGGACGGGUGAGUAACACGUGGAUAACCUACCUAUAAGACUGGGAUAACUUCGGGAAACCGGAGCUAAUACCGGAUAAUAUAUUGAACCGCAUGGUUCAAUAGUGAAAGACGGUUUUGCUGUCACUUAUAGAUGGAUCCGCGCCGCAUUAGCUAGUUGGUAAGGUAACGGCUUACCAAGGCGACGAUGCGUAGCCGACCUGAGAGGGUGAUCGGCCACACUGGAACUGAGACACGGUCCAGACUCCUACGGGAGGCAGCAGUAGGGAAUCUUCCGCAAUGGGCGAAAGCCUGACGGAGCAACGCCGCGUGAGUGAUGAAGGUCUUCGGAUCGUAAAACUCUGUUAUUAGGGAAGAACAAAUGUGUAAGUAACUAUGUACGUCUUGACGGUACCUAAUCAGAAAGCCACGGCUAACUACGUGCCAGCCGCCGCCGUAA
This 513-nucleotide ribosomal RNA is filed under the name uncultured bacterium. Its description in RNAcentral is "partial 16S ribosomal RNA". It matches the Rfam family "Bacterial small subunit ribosomal RNA", at positions 28 to 523 of the family's 1533-position model. The record is from RNAcentral.